AUGCAGUCGAGCGGAGAUGAGGUGCUUGCACCUUAUCUUAGCGGCGGACGGGUGAGUAAUGCUUAGGAAUCUGCCUAUUAGUGGGGGACAACAUUCCGAAAGGAAUGCUAAUACCGCAUACGCCCUACGGGGGAAAGCAGGGGAUCUUCGGACCUUGCGCUAAUAGAUGAGCCUAAGUCGGAUUAGCUAGUUGGUGGGGUAAAGGCCUACCAAGGCGACGAUCUGUAGCGGGUCUGAGAGGAUGAUCCGCCACACUGGGACUGAGACACGGCCCAGACUCCUACGGGAGGCAGCAGUGGGGAAUAUUGGACAAUGGGCGGAAGCCUGAUCCAGCCAUGCCGCGUGUGUGAAGAAGGCCUUUUGGUUGUAAAGCACUUUAAGCGAGGAGGAGGCUACUUAGAUUAAUACUCUAGGAUAGUGGACGUUACUCGCAGAAUAAGCACCGGCUAACUCUGUGCCAGCAGCCGCGGUAAUACAGAGGGUGCGAGCGUUAAUCGGAUUUACUGGGCGUAAAGCGUGCGUAGGCGGCUGAUUAAGUCGGAUGUGAAAUCCCUGAGCUUAACUUAGGAAUUGCAUUCGAUACUGGUCAGCUAGAGUAUGGGAGAGGAUGGUAGAAUUCCAGGUGUAGCGGUGAAAUGCGUAGAGAUCUGGAGGAAUACCGAUGGCGAAGGCAGCCAUCUGGGCCUAAUACUGACGCUGAGGUA
Molecule: ribosomal RNA, 704 nt
Filed under: Acinetobacter sp.
Lineage: Bacteria; Pseudomonadati; Pseudomonadota; Gammaproteobacteria; Moraxellales; Moraxellaceae
Description: bacterial SSU rRNA
Rfam family: Bacterial small subunit ribosomal RNA
Source: RNAcentral